UAUUUAGAGGAUUUGAUCCUGGUCCAGGAUGAACGCUGGCGGCGUGGAUAAGGCAUGCAAGUCAUACGGAUCAGUUUGUGAUUACAUCAAUAACUGAUUAGUGGCGAACGAGUUAGUAACACCUUGGUACGUACCCCGAAGACGGAAAUAACCCAGCGAAAGCUGGGCUAAUAUCCGAUGGUCUCGCAAGAGUAAAUCUCGCAAGGGGCUUCGGGAGCGACCUAGGUCUGAUCAGCUAGUUGGUAGGGUAAUGGCCUACCAAGGCUACGACCAGUAGGGGGGCUGAGAGGCUGAUCCCCAACGACGUUACUGAGACACGGAACGUACACCUACGGGUGGCAGCAGUCGAGAAUAUUCGACAAUGGGCGAAAGCCUGAUCGAGCGACGCCGCGUGAAGGAUGAAGGUCUUCGGAUCGUAAACUUCUUUUCUAUAGGAAAAAGCCGCAAGGCUGAUUGUACUGUAGGAAUAAGGAGCUGCUAACCUCGUGCCAGCAGCCGCGGUAAUACGAGGGCUCCAAGCGUUAUCCGGAUUUAUUGGGCGUAAAGAGUGCGUAGGAGGACCGACACGUUUCUUGUUAAAUCCCAGAGCUCAACUUUGGGGCUGCAAGGAAUACGAUCGGACUAGAGUGUGCGAGAGGCUAAUAGAACUCACGGUGUAGGGGUGAAAUCCGUUGAUAUCGUGGGGAAUACCAAAGGCGAAGGCAUUUAGCUGGCGCAUUACUGACUCUAAAGCACGAAAGCGUGGGGAGCAAAAAGGAUUAGAUACCCUUGUAGUCCACGCCCUAAACGAUGUCUACUGGCUAUCUCGAGUAUCGACCCUCGGGGUGGCGAAGCUAACGCGUUAAGUAGACCGCCUGGGAAGUACGGCCGCAAGGCUAAAACUCAAAGGAAUAGACGGGGACUCGCACAAGCGGUGGAGCAUGAGGUUCAAUUCGACAGUAAGCGAGAAACCUUACCAGGGUUUGAAAGAAUAAUGAAAGCCGCCAGAAACGGUGGCCUUCUCUCAAGGACAUUAUUCCAGGUGCUGCAUGGUUGUCGUCAGCUCGUGUUUUGAAAUGUUCCCUUAAGUGGGGUAACGAGCGCAACCCUUAUCUGAUGUUACAAGUGUCAUCGGAAACUGCCCUCUGUUUGGGGGAGGAAGGCGGGGAUGACGUCAAAUCAGCAUGGCCCUUUGAUACCCUGGGCUACACUCGUGCUACAAUGGCCAUUACAAUGGGUUGCCAAGCCGCAAGGCGGAGCUAAUCCCAACAAAAAUGGCCCCAGUUCAGAUUGGAGGCUGAAACUCGCCUCCAUGAAGUCGGAAUCGCUAGUAAUCGCGGAUCAUCACGCCGCGGUGAAUACGUUCUCGAGUCCUGUACUCACCGCCAAAUAACUGUGUUUGGCAGCUUGUUUUACUAAGUAGUUAAAAUCCACUCCUCC
RNAcentral lists this ribosomal RNA (1419 nucleotides) under bacterium. Its description in RNAcentral is "bacterial SSU rRNA". It matches the Rfam family "Bacterial small subunit ribosomal RNA". The record is from RNAcentral.